AGUGAACGCUGGCGGUAGGCCUAACACAUGCAAGUCGAACGGCAGCACAGUAAGAGCUUGCUCUUACGGGUGGCGAGUGGCGGACGGGUGAGGAAUACAUCGGAAUCUACUUUUUCGUGGGGGAUAACGUAGGGAAACUUACGCUAAUACCGCAUACGACCUACGGGUGAAAGCAGGGGAUCUUCGGACCUUGCGCGAUUGAAUGAGCCGAUGUCGGAUUAGCUAGUUGGCGGGGUAAAGGCCCACCAAGGCGACGAUCCGUAGCUGGUCUGAGAGGAUGAUCAGCCAAACUGGAACUGAGACACGGUCCAGACUCCUACGGGAGGCAGCAGUGGGGAAUAUUGGACAAUGGGCGCAAGCCUAAUCCAGCCAUACCGCGUGGGUGAAGAAGGCCCUCGGGUUGUAAAGCCCUUUUGUUGGGAAAGAAAAGCAGAAGGUUAAUACCCCGCUGUUCUGACGGUACCCAAAGAAUAAGCACCGGCUAACUUCGUG
Molecule: ribosomal RNA, 492 nt
Filed under: uncultured bacterium
Lineage: Bacteria
Description: partial 16S ribosomal RNA
Rfam family: Bacterial small subunit ribosomal RNA
Source: RNAcentral